GGAGGUAAAUGGAGGUAAAUUAAACACUCCUCACAGAGACAUGGAGGUAAAUGGAGGUAAAUUAAACACUCCUCACAGAGACAUGGAGGUAAAUUAAACACUCCUCACAGAGACAUGGAGGUAAAUGGAGGUAAAUUAAACACUCCUCACAGAGACAUGGAGGUAAAUGGAGGUAAAUUAAACACUCCUCACAGAGACAUGGAGGUAAAUGGAGGUAAAUUAAACACUCCUCACAGAGACAUGGAGGUAAAUGGAGGUAAAUUAAACACUCCUCACAGAGACAUGGAGGUAAAUGGAGG
Molecule: non-coding RNA, 299 nt
Organism: Oncorhynchus mykiss (rainbow trout)
Lineage: Eukaryota; Metazoa; Chordata; Actinopteri; Salmoniformes; Salmonidae
Source: RefSeq, a predicted model, not a curated record